RNAcentral lists this long non-coding RNA (883 nucleotides) under Calidris pugnax (ruff). RNAcentral's name for it is "lncRNA (ENSCPUG00000001213.1)". Lineage: Eukaryota; Metazoa; Chordata; Aves; Charadriiformes; Scolopacidae. The record is from RNAcentral.
GACCCAUUCAGUUGCACUGGCACUAGCUACUUCAUGCCCAAAACAUGAGUUAGCGAAUUAUAAAAGCUCCUCAUCUUUACGGCGGAGGUGGCUUUUUUUAUUCUCAGAUGCAGCCAUUAACUCUUGAUGAGAAACUCUUACCUGCAGAGAUGUAUUCCGAGUGCUUAACCGGGUGACAGCACGCGCAUAUGCUCAGGGAACACUGCCAGUGCUAACAGUGACACGGCGCUGGCUUCACAUGACUUGUCUGGGAGGGGACAGCCAGCUCCUGCUUGGAAACACACCCCAGUCGCCUUUGCCUAAACCCUCAUAAAGUUUCCACAGCGGUAGUGAAAGGUGAGGAGUUGAACUCUGGGCUCUGAAUAGACACAAAGGACCUCUCCUAGGCUACCAUCAGCAGGAGGUGAGCAAAGAAUGGGUAGCCAGAGUUCAGGGGCGUAGCACCUUGAAAAGAUAUGAUAGAAACUCUUGAGGAAAUAAUUAAAAAGCAAUGUCAUGUGUCUGUUUAAAGUGCGAUUGUAAGCUUUUCUAGGGACUGUGCUUGCCUUGAGAGCUGUGCAGUGCUUGGCACAGUAGGACGUCCACCAAACACGAAGUCUAGUCCUCUGCCUGCCCACAUAGCGUGGCUGAUGAUAUGCAACUUUUCGGGUGACCAGCGUGUUCCUCCCUUCUGAAACGCUGCAAGAGGAGUGCUUCCAAGAGGCUUGGUGGCAUCAUAAAGAUGAAAAGCGACUCUGGACAUUCCACCAUGGCUGAGCAGCAGAAACAGGAGGAGAAGCUCUGCCAUGCCUUGAAGAUCACUGCCCGUGUCCUUGGUACAGGCCUGAUCGUGUUCACUGCCUUAGCAAACUCUGUUUCUUGGUAAGAUUGUUCGAACAAAGGG